This 496-nucleotide ribosomal RNA is filed under the name uncultured bacterium. RNAcentral describes it as "partial 16S ribosomal RNA". It matches the Rfam family "Bacterial small subunit ribosomal RNA", at positions 28 to 506 of the family's 1533-position model. The record is from RNAcentral.
GAUGAACGCUGGCGGCGUGCCUAAUACAUGCAAGUCGAGCGAACAGACGAGGAGCUUGCUCCUCUGACGUUAGCGGCGGACGGGUGAGUAACACGUGGAUAACCUACCUAUAAGACUGGGAUAACUUCGGGAAACCGGAGCUAAUACCGGAUAAUAUAUUGAACCGCAUGGUUCAAUAGUGAAAGACGGUUUUGCUGUCACUUAUAGAUGGAUCCGCGCCGCAUUAGCUAGUUGAUAAGGUAACGGCUUACCAAGGCAACGAUGCGUAGCCGACCUGAGAGGGUGAUCGGCCACACUGGAACUGAGACACGGUCCAGACUCCUACGGGAGGCAGCAGUAGGGAAUCUUCCGCAAUGGGCGAAAGCUUGACGGAGCAACGCCGCGUGAGUGAUGAAGGUCUUCGGAUCGUAAAACUCUGUUAUUAGGGAAGAACAAAUGUGUAAGUAACGAUGCACGUCUUGACGGUACCUAAGCAGAAAGCCACGGCUAACUACGU